Molecule: ribosomal RNA, 454 nt
Filed under: uncultured bacterium
Lineage: Bacteria
Description: bacterial SSU rRNA
Rfam family: Bacterial small subunit ribosomal RNA
Source: RNAcentral
GCAGUAGGGAAUUUUCCACAAUGGGCGCAAGCCUGAUGGAGCGACGCCGCGUGAGGGAUGACGGCCUUCGGGUUGUAAACCUCUUUCGGUAGGGAACAAUGGUAAUGGCGUGAAUAACGCAGUUAUUUGAUGGUACCUAAAGAAGAAGCUUCGGCUAACUCUGUGCCAGCAGCCGCGGUAAUACAGAGGAAGCUAACGUUGUCCGGAUUUACUGGGCGUAAAGGGUUUGUAGGCGGCCAAAUAAGUCAGUUGUGAAAUCGCUCCGCUUAACGGAGCAAUUGCUUCUGAAACUGCUUGGCUUGAGUGCAGGAAGGGUAAAUGGAAUUUCCGGUGUAGCGGUGGAAUGCGUAGAUAUCGGAAAGAACACCAGUGGCGAAGGCGGUUUACUGGCCUGCAACUGACGCUGAAAAACGAAAGCCAGGGGAGCAAACGGGAUUAGAUACCCCAGUAGUCC